UCAAUCUGAAACCAAAAUGAUUGAAUUAAAUUGUUUCCAAAUAGCAGUAGUAAGACAAUCUAGGCUAAACAGACUGUGUCUUGAAAGAUUUAGGAUUAUUCGGGUGUCACAUACUCCUUUCCGUACUCCUUUCCGGUUUAGAUCCUAACGUACUCGCCAGUCCGAUCCGAGACUCAUCCUUAUAAUUUCAGCUGGUUAUCAGACUCUGAUAUUAAAUGUAAUGAUCCGACUCGCUAACAAUAAUAACUUCUUAGGCUUAAACACUGGCCCAAUAAUUUAUUACUUGUAUGUUCGUCUCUUAUAAAUUUAUCCCACUCC
This 318-nucleotide long non-coding RNA is filed under the name Ananas comosus (pineapple). RNAcentral's name for it is "long non-coding RNA (ACOM_LNC036640)". The record is from RNAcentral. Lineage: Eukaryota; Viridiplantae; Streptophyta; Magnoliopsida; Poales; Bromeliaceae.